GUCUUUUUAAUCAUUUCAACCGAAAUUUCGGCAGGGAGGAUACUUUGAAGUACCUCAUGUCAGAUUUCGAAGGGACUUUUUAUUUUCUUUUUUUAGGUUAGUUUGUUUAUUAUUAUUUUAUUUUUUAUUUUUUAGAAAAAAAAAACAAAGAAAUGAAAGUCACGUGAGUGACUUUCUUCCUUCCUCUUUUCUUUUCUUUUAUUUUAUUCAUUUUGUUUUUAUUUUAUUGAUUUAUUUAUUUAUUUGUUAAAGUCUUUUUCUCCAAGUCUCAGCUGCAGGGGUAUUUUGGUCUUUGAUCUGUACCAGAGCCAACCCUAAUUUGUCACUAUAAAAGCCUGUCAAUCAUUGGGAAAUGGGCCAGAGAAAAAAUCACUGUUCACAGAAAAAUCAGCAACCACACAUUUUUUCCAAUCAAGUCACAAACACAAUUUCCUUCUCUCUCUCCUCUUUACCAGAUCAAACACAAAAAUCAUAAGAACAAAUAUGAAUAUCACCAACAUUCACCAACAACAUUCAUGAACAUUUGUUAACAUAAACAGCACAAAUUCACAAAACCCAACUCGAACCCACACAUAACACAACGAACAGAACCGAAUAAAAAAAAACAACAAAUCCGAACCCAAACAGCAAGAAACGAACCGGAGCAACCGAACCGGAACAAAGGAGAAACAGUACCGAACCGGAGAAGAGGGAAGGAACCGAACCAGAGCAAGGAGAAACGGAACCGCACCGGAAAAAGAGGUAAAAUUUUCACAUCUUUAUUUGUAGAUCUAGGAUUUUUGGUGCAUGUUUUCGAAAUUUUGAGUUUAGAUUCGAGUAGAGGAAGGGAAGAGGAGUAUUUUGAUGUAAAAAAUUUUCAAAAAAAAAGCAAAAAAAAAACUCCGGCGCGGCGGCGCUCCGGCCGACCACCACGCCGGAGCAGCUCCGGCCGCCCCUCUUCAUCUUCUCCGGUCGCGUGUUCUUUGAAGGAGGGGAGAGCUUCUCUCUCUAAGUUUAACUUAGAGAGAGAAGUGUUUUAGUUUUAUGUUUUUUUUUUUGUUGUUAAAAUUGCUUUUAUAGUGCUUUCUUUUUUUGCUGGAUCAUACGUGCGCGUAUUCAUAAUCUUACGAUGUUCCAUCGCGUUAGUAGCCAUCAGAUCUGGAUCGUUCCUUGAUCUGACGGCUACCGUAUGAUCUGUUUUUAAAUCAAGUGUGUGUUUUUUCUGCGUGAGUGUGGUGUGGCUUCUGUUUGGACCGUCAGAUCGUUGAUCUGACGAUCACUGUGUUUUCAGUUUAAUCCCUUUGUUUCUAUGUUGUUUUUGUGACCCUUGGAUCGUUGGAUCCAACGGCUGUGAUGAAUCCAGUGACUGAAUCUGGACAAUUGAUUUAAUCCAAUGGUCCAGAAUUAAUCCUGCUGAGCCAAUGUUUUAUUAUUUCUUAUUUUUAAUUGUCUUUAUUUUUAAAUACUGUUUUUACAUUUUUUUGACAUUUUUUGUGUUUAGAAAAAUUCCAAAAAAUAUUUUUCUCACUAUUUUAAUUUUCUCUAAUUUUAAAAAUCCAUUCUAUUUGUUUUCUUUUAUUUUAUUUUUUUUGUUUAUUUCUUAUGUGAUGACCUUAAUUAUUAUUUGUCUUAAUUCUUGCUUAUUAUUUCUCAUGUCUCAUUCAUCAUAAUAUUUCUUGUGAUUACUAACUAUUUAAUUUUUGUCUUGAAUCAUAGCAUGCACAUUUAAUUUUUCCAUCAUUUUAUUUUGUCAUUGACUUAGUGUGUAUAAAUAGGGAAUUGAUGUAAUUUUAUUUCUUGCAUUUUAUUUUGGCAUAAAGGCCUUAGGGUUGUAUUUAGGAAUUGAUGUAAUAAUGUAGGUAACACAAGCACCGACACAUGCACCGACACUACCACAUUUUAUUUACCGCUUUCCGUUAGUUUUUACGACGUUACGUUAGUUUUCACCGUUAGUUUAGAAAAAUCAUUUUCUCAAAAAGUCAAAUAUGCAAAACUUCAAAAAUCAUUUUCUUAAUAACUUUUUUCCUUUAUUUUCUUAAUCAAAUUCUCAAUCAAUUUUAAUUCAACUUCAAUCAUUUUCAAAAUUUAAAAUCAAUCAACCUCACUUGUUUUCUUUAUCUCAUGCCUUGAGGCCUCUUUCUUUUCUUAAAACCCAUUUUCGAAAAAAUCUUAAAAUCAACCUAACCCACCAAAGAAAUUCUUGAGUGGAACUACGUCAGUUUUGAUCCCUUUCCCAAAAAGGGUACGUAGGCAGAGGACUCGUCCUUCCAAAUCAAAUAAAAAUAACCAAAAACAUACUUCUUCUCCCUCCAUUCUUUCACUUAGACAUUAGGCAAUAAUUUUUUCAAAUAAACAAGUAGUUUAGCACAAAAUAAUUUAGGUAAGAGGUUCCUAUGGAAUACCAUGGACGCUUAGGAUGCUAGCACCUUCCCUUCGCGUAACCAACCCCCGAAUCCAAAGUCUCGAUAAGGGUUUUUACUCAUUUUUUACCUUCCCAAGAAUAAAAAUCGAGAGUUCAAAGAUUGACGAUUCAAAUCAAUUAAUGGUUUGAUAUCCGAAAAUCGCGAGCACACAGUGACUGGGCAACGUAAGGUACAUUGUUAUAAAAAUUCAUGUAAAAGUAGUUAUGUAUGUGUUUUAUACUAUAAACUUUAGGUUUUUAAUUUAUGAUUGUUUUUUUCUUGUUGAUCGUGUCUAGUCCCUUUAUAUCUCUAGACAAGCCAUUAGAUAAUCUUCAUAAAAAAUUAUAAAUAUCUCAAUAAUUAGAUUUAAUCAAACGGUUCAUAUUUAAGGGAGAAUGAACUAGGAAAAAUCGGAGAGAAUAUGAUUACAUAUUUUAGCUUCCAUUUUCUAAUAAAAUAGAUGACCUUUAAUCCUAAAGGCUUUUCAAAUAUGAUAUAUAUAUAUUUGGAGUUUAUGCGUAAGAGGUAGAUCUGGAAAGUGAGGACCUUUUUGCUGAAGCAGCCAUGAUGAUUACAUCAAAUAUUGACAAUCAUAUUGGUCCCUUGAAGAGUUGGAGCAUUAGGCAUGAUGAUUACAUCAAAUAUUUUCAAUAGAACGUGAUUCAUGUGAUUAUCGUUACGGAGGAAUACCAUACAUGAUUGAAAGGAAAGCUGCUUCAACCAUUGAUUCUCUCUCAUUGUUCGUCUCUUGAAA
Molecule: long non-coding RNA, 3135 nt
Filed under: Medicago truncatula (barrel medic)
Lineage: Eukaryota; Viridiplantae; Streptophyta; Magnoliopsida; Fabales; Fabaceae
Description: long non-coding RNA (MTRU_LNC008661)
Source: RNAcentral